RNAcentral lists this ribosomal RNA (368 nucleotides) under uncultured bacterium. Its description in RNAcentral is "bacterial SSU rRNA". It matches the Rfam family "Bacterial small subunit ribosomal RNA", at positions 917 to 1289 of the family's 1533-position model. The record is from RNAcentral.
GGGUCCGCACAAGCGGUGGAGUAUGUGGUUUAAUUCGAUGAUAAGCGAGGAACCUUACCUGGAUUCAAUUCAAUCUGACAGACUUAGAGAUAGGUUUUUCUUCGGACAGAUUGGAAGGUGCUGCAUGGUUGUCGUCAGCUCGUGCCGUGAGGUGUUGGGUUAAGUCCCGCAACGAGCGCAACCCUUACCUUUAGUUGCCAGCACAUUAUGGUGGGAACUCUAGAGGGAACUGCCUUCGUAAGGAGGAGGAAGGUGGGAUGACGUCAAAUCAUCAUGGCCCUUACGUCCAGGGCUACACACGUACUACAAUGGUCGGUACAAAGGGUUGCAACAUAGCGAUAUGAAGCCAAUCCCUAAAAGCCGAUCUC